RNAcentral lists this ribosomal RNA (498 nucleotides) under uncultured bacterium. RNAcentral describes it as "partial 16S ribosomal RNA". It matches the Rfam family "Bacterial small subunit ribosomal RNA", at positions 30 to 523 of the family's 1533-position model. The record is from RNAcentral.
AUUGAACGCUGGCGGCAUGCCUUACACAUGCAAGUCGAACGGUAACAGGUCUUCGGAUGCUGACGAGUGGCGAACGGGUGAGUAAUACAUCGGAACGUGCCUAGUAGUGGGGGAUAACUACUCGAAAGAGUGGCUAAUACCGCAUGAGAUCUACGGAUGAAAGCAGGGGAUCGCAAGACCUUGUGCUACUAGAGCGGCCGAUGGCAGAUUAGGUAGUGGGUGGGAUAAAAGCUUACCAAGCCGACGAUCUGUAGCUGGUCUGAGAGGACGAUCAGCCACACUGGGACUGAGACACGGCCCAGACUCCUACGGGAGGCAGCAGUGGGGAAUUUUGGACAAUGGGCGAAAGCCUGAUCCAGCAAUGCCGCGUGCAGGAUGAAGGCCUCCGGGUUGUAAACUGCUUCUGUACGGAACGAAAAGCCCUGGGUUAAUACCCUGGGGUCAUGACGGUACCGUAAGAAUAAGCACCGGCUAACUACGUGCCAGCCGCCGCCGUAA